CCCGCUGGAAAUUAAGCAUAUCAAUAAGCGGAGGAAAAGAAACCAACAGGGAUUGCCCUAGUAACGGCGAGUGAAGCGGCAACAGCUCAAAUUUGAAAGCUGGCCUUCUGGCCCGCAUUGUAAUUUGCAGAGGAUGCUUUUGGUGCGGUACCUUCCGAGUUCCUUGGAACAGGACGCCUUAGAGGGUGAGAGCCCCGUACGGUUGGAUGCCUAGCCUCUGUAAAGCUCCUUCGACGAGUCGAGUAGUUUGGGAAUGCUGCUCUAAAUGGGAGGUAAAUUUCUUCUAAAGCUAAAUAUUGGCCAGAGACCGAUAGCGCACAAGUAGAGUGAUCGAAAGAUGAAAAGCACUUUGAAAAGAGGGUUAAAUAGCACGUGAAAUUGUUGAAAGGGAAGGAUUUAUCACCAGACCUUUGCCUGGCGGAUCAUCCGGUGUUCUCACCGGUGCACUUCGCCAGGUCGAGGCCAGCAUCGGUUUCGGCCGGGGGAUAAAGACUUCGGGAACGUGGCUCCCUCCGGGGAGUGUUAUAGCCCGUUGUGUAAUACCCUGGCUGGGACCGAGGAACGCGCUCUGCAAGGAUGCUGGCAUAAUGGUGAUCAAUCACCCGUCUUGAAACACGGACCAAGGAGUCGAACAUUUGUGCGAGUGUUUGGGUAUCAAACCCUCACGCGUAAUGAAAGUGAACGGAGGUGAGAGCCUUAGGGUGCAUCAUCGACCGAUCCUGAUGUCUUCGGAUGGAUUUGAGUAGGAGCAUAACUGUUCGGACCCGAAAGAUGGUGAACUAUGCGUGGAUAGGGUGAAGCCAGAGGAAACUCUGGUGGAGGCUCGCAGCGGUUCUGACGUGCAAAUCGAUCGUCAAAUCUGCGCAUGGGGGCGAAAGACUAAUCGAACCAUCUAGUAGCUGGUUACCGCCGAAGUUCCCCUCAAGGAA
Molecule: ribosomal RNA, 929 nt
Filed under: Atrotorquata spartii
Lineage: Eukaryota; Fungi; Ascomycota; Sordariomycetes; Xylariales; Cainiaceae
Description: eukaryotic LSU rRNA
Rfam family: Eukaryotic large subunit ribosomal RNA
Source: RNAcentral